UACAGAGGUCUCAAGCGUUGUUCGGAUUCAUUGGGCGUAAAGGGUGCGUAGGUGGCGCCGUAAGUCGGGUGUGAAAUCUCGGGGCUUAACUCCGAAACUGCAUUCGAUACUGCGGUGCUUGAGGACUGGAGAGGAGACUGGAAUUCAUGGUGUAGCAGUGAAAUGCGUAGAUAUCGUAAGGAAGACCAGUGGCGAAGGCGGGUCUCUGGACAGUUCCUGACGCUGAGGCACGAAGGCCAGGGGAGCAAACGGG
This 253-nucleotide ribosomal RNA is filed under the name uncultured bacterium. RNAcentral describes it as "partial 16S ribosomal RNA". It matches the Rfam family "Bacterial small subunit ribosomal RNA", at positions 524 to 776 of the family's 1533-position model. The record is from RNAcentral.